ACGCGAGGAACCUUACCAGGUCUUGACAUCCUCUGACACUCCUAGAGAUAGGACGUUCCCCUUCGGGGGACAGAGUGACAGGUGGUGCAUGGUUGUCGUCAGCUCGUGUCGUGAGAUGUUGGGUUAAGUCCCGCAACGAGCGCAACCCUUGAUCUUAGUUGCCAGCAUUUAGUUGGGCACUCUAAGGUGACUGCCGGUGACAAACCGGAGGAAGGUGGGGAUGACGUCAAAUCAUCAUGCCCCUUAUGACCUGGGCUACACACGUGCUACAAUGGAUAGAACAAAGGGCAGCGAAGCCGCGAGGUGAAGCCAAUCCCAUAAAUCUAUUCUCAGUUCGGAUUGCAGGCUGCAACUCGCCUGCAUGAAGCCGGAAUCGCUAGUAAUCGCGGAUCAGCAUGCCGCGGUGAAUACGUUCCCGGGCCUUGCACACACCGCCCGU
RNAcentral lists this ribosomal RNA (439 nucleotides) under uncultured bacterium. RNAcentral's name for it is "bacterial SSU rRNA". It matches the Rfam family "Bacterial small subunit ribosomal RNA", at positions 959 to 1397 of the family's 1533-position model. The record is from RNAcentral.